This 253-nucleotide unclassified non-coding RNA is filed under the name uncultured Rickettsiales bacterium. RNAcentral describes it as "contains 16S-23S intergenic spacer region". It matches the Rfam family "Bacterial small subunit ribosomal RNA", at positions 524 to 776 of the family's 1533-position model. Lineage: Bacteria; Pseudomonadati; Pseudomonadota; Alphaproteobacteria; Rickettsiales. The record is from RNAcentral.
UACAGAGGGUGCUAGCGUUGUUCGGAAUGACUGGGCGUAAAGGGCGCGUAGGCGGCUUUUUAAGUCAGGCGUGAAAUCCCCGGGCUCAACCUGGGAACGGCGUUUGAAACUAGAGAGCUAGAGAGCGGAAGAGGAAAGUGGAAUUCCUAGUGUAGAAGUGAAAUUCGUAGAUAUUAGGAGGAACACCAGAGGCGAAGGCGACUUUCUGGUCCGCCACUGACGCUGAGGCGCGAAAGCGUGGGGAGCAAACAGG